AAGUAUAUGCAUAUUUUAUAUGUAGAAACUGCGAACGGCUCAUUAAAACAGUUAUAAUCUACUUGACAUUUUUUCUAUAAGGAUAACUACGGAAAAGCUGUAGCUAAUACUUGCUUUAGCACUCUUGAUUAAGUUCUUGAGUGUGUACUUGUUAAGCCUUUUAAGAAAAAAGUUAUUAACUUAAGGAAUUAUAACAAAGAAGUAACACAUAAUGGAUCCGUCCAUUUUUAGUGUGUAUCAAUCGAGUUUCUGACCUAUCAGCUUUUGAUGUUAGGGUAUUGGCCUAACAUGGCUAUGACGGGUAACGGGGAAUUAGAGUUCGAUUCCGGAGAGGGAGCCUGAGAAAUAGCUACCACAUCUAAGGAAGGCAGCAGGCGCGUAAAUUACCCAAUUCUAAAGAAGAGAGGUAGUGACAAGAAAUAACAAUACAAGGCCAAUCUGGCUUUGUAAUUGGAAUGAUGGGAAUUUAAAACCUUCCCAAAACUCAAUUGGAGGGCAAGUCUGGUGCCAGCAGCCGCGGUAAUUCCAGCUCCAAUAGCGUAUAUUAAAAUUGUUGCAGUUAAAACGCUCGUAGUUGAAUUUCAAAGAAUCGAUAUUUUAAGUAACGCUUCUAGCUUAAUCCACAUAACUGAUACAACGUAUCGACUUUGUGCGCAUUUUGCUAUUAUGUGUUCUUUUAAUUAAAAUGAUUCUUUUUAAGAUCUUUCAAUUGCUUCGGCGUUGGAGAUCUUGUUACUUUGAGUAAAUUAGAGUGUUCAAAGCAAACAGAUAUAGCAUUGCGCGUUUGAAUACUACAGCAUGGAAUAACAAAAUUGAACAAGUCAGAAUUUUGUUCUUUUUUCUUAUUUUGGCUUAGUUACGAUUAAUAGGAGUAGCUUGGGGGCAUUUGUAUUCAGAUGUCAGAGGUGAAAUUCUUAGAUUUUCUGGAGACAAACAACUGCGAAAGCAUUUGCCUAAAAUACUUCCAUUAAUCAAGAACGAAAGUUAAGGGAGUGAAGACGAUCAGAUACCGUCGUAAUCUUAACCAUAAACUAUGCCGACUAGGCUUUGGAUGAAAGAUUUUAAAAUAAGAGAUUUUCUCUUCGGAGUUAAUCUCUUAGAUUGCUUCCUUCAGUGCCUUAUGAGAAAUCAAAGUCUUUGGGUUCUGGGGCGAGUAUUCGCGCAAGCGAGAAAGUUAAAAGAAUUGACGGAAGGGCACCACCAGGCGUGGAGCUUGCGGCUUAAUUUGACUCAACACGGGAAAACUCACUAGUUUAAGACAAGAGUAGGAUUGACAGAUUAAUAGCUCUUUCUUGAUUUCUUGGAUGGUGAUGCAUGGCCGUUUUUAGUUCGUGAAUAUGAUUUGUCUGGUUAAUUCCGAUAACGAACGAGAUCUUAACCUGCUAAUUAGCGGCAAAUACGAUAUAUUCUUAUGUGGAAUUGAAUAUAGUUGAUUUGCUUAUUUUGAAGAAAAUAUUGGGAUACGUAAAUGUAUCCCUUUCCCUUUUCUACUUAAUUUGCUUAUCAUACUAUUUCUUUUUUGCGUAAGAAUGUAUUUGCUUGAUUGUAAAGCUUCUUAGAGGAACGAUGUGUGUCUAACACAAG
Molecule: ribosomal RNA, 1584 nt
Filed under: Plasmodium sp.
Lineage: Eukaryota; Apicomplexa; Aconoidasida; Haemosporida; Plasmodiidae
Description: SSU rRNA
Rfam family: Eukaryotic small subunit ribosomal RNA
Source: RNAcentral